CCGUGCUAAGUGGGGAGGUAGCGGUGCCCUGUACUCGCAAUCCGCUAUAGCGGGACCGAAUCCCUUCUUUAGGCUUUGUUUCCGUGAGGUCUGCCCUGAGUAAGUGGUGUAGACGUCCGGGUUCUGCGCAACGAAAACCCGUGAACCCUGUCAGGUCCGGAAGGAAGCAGCAGUAAGCGGACUCUUUCGUGUGCCGCAGAGUCGCCUGGGCCGAGCUAACUGCUCGGGUAACGCUCAUGGAAGCAUUGCCGACAGAAGGUGCACGG
Molecule: signal recognition particle RNA, 266 nt
Filed under: Alteribacillus bidgolensis
Lineage: Bacteria; Bacillati; Bacillota; Bacilli; Caryophanales; Bacillaceae
Description: Bacillus sp. P4B(2010) Bacterial large signal recognition particle RNA
Rfam family: Bacterial large signal recognition particle RNA
About the family: The signal recognition particle (SRP) is a universally conserved ribonucleoprotein involved in the co-translational targeting of proteins to membranes. Archaeal SRP consists of a 7S RNA and homologues of the eukaryotic SRP19 and SRP54 proteins.
Source: Rfam by way of RNAcentral